RNAcentral lists this ribosomal RNA (253 nucleotides) under uncultured bacterium. RNAcentral's name for it is "partial 16S ribosomal RNA". It matches the Rfam family "Bacterial small subunit ribosomal RNA", at positions 524 to 776 of the family's 1533-position model. The record is from RNAcentral.
UACGAAGGGGGCUAGCGUUGUUCGGAAUUACUGGGCGUAAAGCGCACGUAGGCGGCUCGAUCAGUCAGGGGUGAAAUCCCAGGGCUCAACCCUGGAACUGCCUUUGAUACUGUCGAUCUGGAGUAUGGAAGAGGUGAGUGGAAUUCCGAGUGUAGAGGUGAAAUUCGUAGAUAUUAGGAAGAACACCAGUGGCGAAGGCGGCUCACUGGCCCGGUACUGACGCUGAGGCGCGAAAGCGUGGGGAGCAAACAGG